GACGAACGCUGGCGGCGUGCUUAACACAUGCAAGUCGAGCGGUAAGGCCCUUUCGGGGGUACACGAGCGGCGAACGGGUGAGUAACACGUGGGUGACCUGCCCUUAGCUCUGGGAUAAGCCUGGGAAACUGGGUCUAAUACCGGAUAUGACUCCAUAACGCAUGUUGUGGGGUGGAAAGCCUUGUGCGGCUAGGGAUGGGCCCGCGGCCUAUCAGCUUGUUGGUGGGGUG
RNAcentral lists this ribosomal RNA (230 nucleotides) under uncultured bacterium. RNAcentral's name for it is "partial 16S ribosomal RNA". It matches the Rfam family "Bacterial small subunit ribosomal RNA", at positions 28 to 259 of the family's 1533-position model. The record is from RNAcentral.